Molecule: antisense RNA, 75 nt
Filed under: Streptomyces bingchenggensis BCW-1
Lineage: Bacteria; Bacillati; Actinomycetota; Actinomycetes; Kitasatosporales; Streptomycetaceae
Description: ASpks TB sRNA
Rfam family: ASpks TB sRNA
Source: Rfam by way of RNAcentral
CUUGAUCGAUCCCAACCACAACGGCCGAUCGGCCGACCGUCCCUGUCCGUACGUCCCCAGCAGCGCCUGGGCCUC